Long non-coding RNA from Drosophila erecta, 681 nucleotides. RefSeq lists it as uncharacterized. Lineage: Eukaryota; Metazoa; Arthropoda; Insecta; Diptera; Drosophilidae. The record is from RefSeq and is a predicted model, not a curated record. The transcript has 2 exons.
GAGUCCGAAUGCGAUUGUAUCUGUAUGCGACUCUCUCCCGAAAACUCUCAGUGCUCUUAGUGAAACUUUCACGCUCUUCGGGUCUCCGAGAAGUGAAUAUUUUGUGUUGUUGCUGCGAGUAUUUGAUUUGGCCCGAAUGCAUGAAGGAGUAGGGGGGUGUUCCCCGCUCUGCAACCAGACCUGACUUUGGCUGCUGCCGCUUGGUAACACUCGCUCCGUUGAUCUUGUCAACUUGACCAAGUUAUUUGAACUAUGCACAUGUGCAGACCAUAGAGAGUCGGGCCAUUCCAACCCAGGCCAAGCCGCCGAGUCAUUUGAAGGCUGUUUGCCGCAGUUGGGAGCCAAGAGUUUUGCUCGGAGAUCUCUGAGCGCCUAUGGACAUGGAUGUGGGGAUCUUUGGGGCCUGGCCUGGACUUAUGUUGCUGCUGCAAUGCUGCUGCUGCUGCUGCUGCAAUGCUGCGUCGACGGCGACGACGCAAAGUGAAUGUACUUUCAAACCAAAGAUCCGGUUUAAAGCUGCCCGGGCAACAGAUACAGCGCAGACAAACGACGAUGACAACGGCGAUGUUUUCACAAAAACGCUUGUGUAAUACAUAUGGAGAGGCAUAGCUAUAUGGCUAUAGCUCCGUGCAUGUCAUGUAUACCCCCGCAGAAAAUAUACACACAGCUCUCGGCCACUAA